This 92-nucleotide transfer RNA is filed under the name Felis catus (domestic cat). It matches the Rfam family "tRNA". Rfam says of the family: Transfer RNA (tRNA) molecules are approximately 80 nucleotides in length. Their secondary structure includes four short double-helical elements and three loops (D, anti-codon, and T loops). The record is from Rfam by way of RNAcentral. RNAcentral also lists the same sequence under 1 other name. Lineage: Eukaryota; Metazoa; Chordata; Mammalia; Carnivora; Felidae.
GCCUGGGUGGCUCAGUUGGUUAAGCGUCUGACUCUUGGUUUCAGCUCAGGUCAGGAGCUCAGCAUUCAUGGGUUCGAGCCCCACCCUGGGCU